UACGUAGGGGGCAAGCGUUAUCCGGAAUGACUGGGCGUAAAGGGUGCGUAGGUGGUUUGAUAAGUUGGUAGCGUAAUUCCGAGGCUCAACCUCGGCGCUACUACCAAAACUGUCGGACUUGAGUGCAGAAGAGGGAAGUGGAAUUCCAUGUGUAGCGGUGAAAUGCGUAGAGAUAUGGAGGAACACCAGUGGCGAAGGCGGCUUCCUGGUCUGUAACUGACACUGAGGCGCGAAAGCGUGGGGAGCAAACAGG
Molecule: ribosomal RNA, 253 nt
Filed under: uncultured Eubacteriales bacterium
Lineage: Bacteria; Bacillati; Bacillota; Clostridia; Eubacteriales
Description: uncultured Clostridiales bacterium partial 16S ribosomal RNA
Rfam family: Bacterial small subunit ribosomal RNA
Source: RNAcentral